This 270-nucleotide unclassified non-coding RNA is filed under the name Bombus terrestris (buff-tailed bumblebee). RNAcentral describes it as "misc RNA ENSBTSG00005031563.1". The record is from RNAcentral. Lineage: Eukaryota; Metazoa; Arthropoda; Insecta; Hymenoptera; Apidae.
AGGAUACAAAACACAUAAAAAUGAGACCAAUCACAUUGAGAAAUAAGGAAUGAACGGAAACAAUAACAAGAACGAUAGAAAAACAAAUGAAAACUGGCAAACUUCGUAAAGGAAAGUACGAAGUUGAAGACCUUCUGCAUGAACGAAUAAAGAAACGAAAGAAAACGAACACAAACAUAAUAUCAAUGACUGACGCACAGAAGACACAUAGUAACAUACACAGGCAGAAAUCUCGGUACAACGAAGGAAUAAAAUUCCUUGUUGUUCUUU